GAAACCUAGCAGAGGGCCAGUCUGGUGCCAGCAGCUGCGGUAAUUCCAGCUCUGCGAGUUUGCUCCCAUAUUGUUGCAGUUAAAACGCCCGUAGUCUGAAUUGGCCAGCAAUGGUCGUACGUAUUUUUACGUUCACUGUGAACAAAUCAGGACGCUUAGAGUAUGGCCACAUGAAUGACUCAGCGCAGUAUGAAGUCUUUGUUUUCUUCCGAAAACAAGCUCAAUGAGAGCCAUCGGGGGUAGAUCUAUCUCAUGACGAGUGGUGGAAUACUUUGACUCAUGAGAGAGAAGCUGAGGCGAAGGCGUCUACCUAGAGGGUUUCUGUCGAUCAAGGGCGAGAGUAGGAGUAUCCAACAGGAUUAGAGACCCUGGUAGUUCCUACCUUAAACGAUGCCGACAGGAGUUUGUCAUUUGUUAAUGGCAGAAUCUUUGGAGAAAUCAUAGUUCUUGGGCUCUGGGGGAACUACGACCGCAAGGCUGAAACUUGAAGGAAUUGACGGAAGGGCACACCAGGGGUGGAGCCUGUGGCUUAAUUUGAAUCAACACGGGGAAACUUACCAGGACCAGAUGUUUUUUAUGACUGACAGGCUUCGGGUCUUUCAGGAUAUUGUUUUUGGUGGUGCAUGGCCGUUGGUGGUGCGUGGGUUGACCUGUCUAGCGUUGAUUCAGCUAACGAGCGAGAUUAUCGCCAAUUAUUUACUUUGCCGAAGUCCUUCGGUUAAAGUUCUAAUUGGGACUCCCUGCGAUUUUAGCAGGUGGAAGAGGGUAGCAAUAACAGGUCCGUGAUGCCCUUUAGAUGCUCUGGGCUGCACGCGUGCUACAAUGUUAGGAUCAAUAGGACUGCGAGCCUGAGAGGGUGCGCUACUCUUAUAAUCCCUAACGUAGUUGGGAUUGACGUUUGUAAUCAGCGUCAUGAACCAGGAAUCCCUUGUAAAUGUGUGUCAACAACGCACGUGAAUACGUCCCUGCCCUUUGUACACACCGCCCGUCGCUCCUACCGAUUGGAUGACUCGGUGAAAUCACCGGAUGCUUACGAGCAGAAAGUGAUUAAAUCACGUUAUCUAGAGGAAGGAGAAGUCGUAACAAGGUAACGGUAGGUGAACCUGCCGUUGGAUC
RNAcentral lists this ribosomal RNA (1116 nucleotides) under Trichomonas vaginalis G3. RNAcentral's name for it is "16S ribosomal RNA". It matches the Rfam family "Eukaryotic small subunit ribosomal RNA", at positions 539 to 1827 of the family's 1831-position model. Lineage: Eukaryota; Parabasalia; Trichomonadida; Trichomonadidae. The record is from RNAcentral.